CCUACGGGAGGCUGCAGUGGGGGAUAUUGCACAAUGGGGGAAACCCUGAUGCAGCGACGCCGCGUGUGGGAAGACGGUCUUCUGGAUUGUAAACCACUGUCCCCAGGGACGAAAAUGACGGUACCUGGGGAGGAAGCUCCGGCUAACUACGUGCCAGCAGCCGCGGUAAUACGUAGGGAGCAAGCGUUGUCCGGAAUUACUGGGUGUAAAGGGAGCGUAGGCGGGGAUGCAGGUUGGGUGUCAAAACUACCGGCUCAACCGAUAGUCGCACUCAAAACUGCAACUCUUGAGUGAAGUAGAGGCAGGCGGAAUGCCUGGUGUAGCGGUGAAAUGCGUAGAUAUUAGGAGGAACACCAGUGGCGAAGGCGGCCUGCUGGGCUUUUACUGACGCUGAGGCUCGAAAGUGUGGGGAGCAAACAGGAUUAGAUACCCGAGUAGUC
Molecule: ribosomal RNA, 440 nt
Filed under: uncultured bacterium
Lineage: Bacteria
Description: partial 16S ribosomal RNA
Rfam family: Bacterial small subunit ribosomal RNA
Source: RNAcentral